RNAcentral lists this signal recognition particle RNA (97 nucleotides) under Micrococcoides hystricis. RNAcentral's name for it is "signal recognition particle sRNA small type". It matches the Rfam family "Bacterial small signal recognition particle RNA". Rfam says of the family: The signal recognition particle (SRP) is a universally conserved ribonucleoprotein involved in the co-translational targeting of proteins to membranes. Archaeal SRP consists of a 7S RNA and homologues of the eukaryotic SRP19 and SRP54 proteins. Lineage: Bacteria; Bacillati; Actinomycetota; Actinomycetes; Micrococcales; Micrococcaceae. The record is from RNAcentral.
UGCGGCCCCUCAUGUGGUGCCAUCCUGCUGAACUCCCCCAGGACCGGAAGGUAGCAAGGGUAAGUGGGCUCUGGUAGGUGCAUGAGGGGCUUUACUA